UACAGAGGCCUCGAGCGUUAGGCGGAAUCACUGGGCUUAAAGCGUGUGUAGGUGGAUCGUUAAGUACCUUGUGAAAUCCCACGGCUUAGCCGUGGAACUGCUUGGUAUACUGGCGGUCUUGAGCCAGCUAGGGGCUACCGGAACAAAUGGUGGAGCGGUGAAAUGCGUAGAUAUCAUUUGGAACGCCAAUGGUGAAAACAGGUAGCUGGGGCUGUGCUGACACUGAGACACGAAAGCCAGGGGAGCAAACGGG
This 253-nucleotide ribosomal RNA is filed under the name uncultured bacterium. RNAcentral describes it as "partial 16S ribosomal RNA". It matches the Rfam family "Bacterial small subunit ribosomal RNA", at positions 524 to 776 of the family's 1533-position model. The record is from RNAcentral.